Molecule: long non-coding RNA, 3946 nt
Organism: Podarcis muralis (Common wall lizard)
Lineage: Eukaryota; Metazoa; Chordata; Lepidosauria; Squamata; Lacertidae
Source: Ensembl
UCAGGAAUUCAUCCAGAUCAUCUCUCUCCCUCCCCUCCUACUGCAAAGUUUAUUUUUAACCAACGAUUUGGAUGGGCCUGCGAGAAGGAGAAGCAUCUUUUAACCCAAUUGGCCUCCGCUCCCUGCAACUACAUCCUCCUCCGGCUCGCUCUCCUCUUCCUUCUCCAGCAAUUUUUUUGCUGUUGCGUUGGGGUUGUGCGAGAGAGGGAAAAGCUUUUAUGAUUUGAAGAUGAUGGGGAGCGAAGUAGCUCCCCUCUAAGUUGAAGUGGAGUCGACUCUCUCUCAAGGUACAACUCUUCCCCCCCCCAACCCCCCACCAGACGCUUUGGUCUCUUUUUCCUCUCUCUCUCUUUUGGGCAUCUGCUAACUUUUCCCCCUCCUUGUUCGCAAGGGCGGUUGCUGGAAGCAUCUGUGUGUGUCUCGUUUCUGUCGCUCCCUUUUAAUAUAUAUAUAAUUGUACUUUGGUACUUCUCGUUCCCUUUGCCCUCCCCUCCCCUUCACCCUCGGGGAUGGGGGGGGGAGAGAGAGGGAGAGGUUGGAGCCUUCACAAGAUCAGUUCUGCUUCUCUCUCUCUCUCGCUUGGCCUUCAGCAAAGGUGCGCGCGCGUCAUCCUUCUCCUUUCCUCCUUGAAUACUUUGGAAGGGUUCGGCGUGUUUUAUGGUCCUUUGGGGUAUGUGUAUGCGUAUGUGCGGGAGGGUAUCUGCGCUUCCUUUUCUCCCCCCCCCCCCGUUGUACUGGGUCCGAGGGACAUCUUUCUCCCCCCCCCACCCCUUCCAAUGGAUUAUAGGAGGAAACGCACACACGCAUCGUCACGAGUACAGGAAGGAGCCCCGCGUGCGUCCGAACCUAGGAAAAUGUGUCGCGUGUCCUAUUUACUUCUGUUUUCUUCUUUUACUUCUGCGUCGAAUUCUGAACUUAACUGGUCCAGAUAUAAAGUGCAUUUCUGAAGAGCGACCUGAAGCUUAGAAAGGGUUGCUGUGUUGCGGUGUCCAUGAUCUGGUGUGUUUUUGAGCUUUCCUGAUUCGGGCAGGGCUAGUUCACUUCGACAUAACAGCAAAUGCUAUGAAAAUGAACAAGCCAAUCUAGCAAAAAACUAGGUUUAGAAGCGGAAAUUAUAAUACGAGAACCCAGAUUUUCAGGCUCUGUUGGUCCGCUAGGUAAGUCGCUUGCGGCGCGUGCAUCUCUGCGGCUCCUUAAUAGCUAGUGGAUGCAGCCCAUAGUGGCAAGCAGAGCUCUGGCCCCACUCAGUCUGCAUUUAUUUCCUGGCACCACCCUGUUAAGGACACCGGCAUUGCCCUUUGACAUGCAUACGUCGUUGGUGGGACUGGCAUCAUAAACUGUGUGGUGCCAUCUAGCACAUGCACCCUGGUCCGGCCCAAAGCCCUGCUCAGUGCAGCUAGAACCAGGUUGCGCCCUUAAUGGCCUACCCACAUGUACUUGGCUGGCGCCACUGCUAAGACUGUCAGCCCCAACUGUGGUGUAUGUAUAUAUUCUCUUUCUGUGUGUAGGGGUGCCAGUGCCAUUAACAAGGCAGCACCCAUGCCAAGGGGAUGGAUUUCUGCUUGCCGUAGCUGCCACCCAGCAGAGUUGCAUUAGCUGAUCUGGUACCAGCCCUUGGCAUUUCCCCCCAUCAUGCUGAAUACUGGCACCAUGCCAGCGUGAAGCAGCCGGAUUAAGAUUGUUAUCUUUAAAAAUUGGGGAAAUAAGUCAUCUCCAAGCCUCCAGAGGAUAAUAAAAUAGGAACCAGGCAAGCCUCUGCUCAAAUCUCACCUGCUCUAUAAGCUCACACGGAAACUUUAGACAAGCUGAUAUGUCUCAGCCUCUUCCUCCAGCCUGUAGUAGGGUAGAAUGCUGGUCUACCUUACAGGGCUGGUGUCAAGAAUACUAUGCGAAAUAUGCCGAGCCCUUAGAAAACAACAACAGAAUUUUAAGUUUUGCUUGCUUGUGGUUGUCUUCUAAAUGUAGUUUAGAAAAGGAGCACUGCAGCUUUUCAAACAGGUGGGGAGUAGCAUCUUCCAAACCCUGACCAAUCCCAUCUUUAACUUUUUACUACUAACGCUGCUACUUCUUUCUCUCUCUCAAUAAAUAUGUUCCAAAGAUUUCCUUGUGCUUUCUUAUCACUAAAAGGCAAUGUCCUUCCUGUCCUCUGCUUGAGUGCACCUGUUACUCCUUAAAACUAGUCCGUGGGACCAAAAUGUUCUCAAAGAGUACGCGUAUAGAACUUAAUAAUUUGGGGGUUUAUUGUCUUGUUAGAAAAAGCUGUUCAUUUCCUAUAUGUUGCCAGGAAGAGGAGGUUCAUGUUGCUGUGGAAUUGACAGCCUGGCAUCGUUCAGGAAAAAUAAAACACCUCUGAAUAUUCUUUUCCACAUUGAAAAGGGGGACCCUGGUUUUGGGGUUGAGAGUACAAACCAGUUAAAUUUGGGAUGUCUGGAGAUGAUGUAAGAUACCUGUUGGUCUCUUCAGGGAGAUUUGUGAAGGCCAGAGACACAACUUGGUGGGAAAUAAACAAUUUUACUUACUGUUUCAACUCCCAAUGUAACCCAGGAGAGGAUUUGUGGACAAACAUUUGCAAAAUAACAGGGGCACCCCCUCCCCACUCGAAGGACAGCCUUGAAAUAUCCUUUUGGUCAAUUAUGAAGGUCACAUGUGGACCGAUCUCCUAAAAUGAGACAGAACCUUGCACAUAUUAAUGUUUUAUACUCCUUGUUUCUCCCUUCCUGUUUCUCCUCCUGCAACCCCUCGACCUCCAGCUUGCUUGAUGGCUUCACAUACUGAUCAAACAUUGACAUAACUGAGGUAUUCUGAGCUCAGCUGGUUUUGUCUCAAGCGAGAGUCACCAUUAAGGUGUGGGAUCUGCAAACUGCUGUUCUGCCAUCUAGACAGAAGGCAUGGUCUACCUGUUGGAUGUAUGGACUGGGGUUCUUUAUCACCCUGGUACCACUAAAGGGAUACUGUUUUGUGUAAAAAGCCUCUGGCUGAAUAGCUCAAAACUCCUUGAAACAUUUAUAAGGGGUUGGACUACAAUGACAGUUAGCACCAGAUGUUUCCUUUUUCUGGUGCAAGUGUGGAAAUGGUGUAGCUGCUAUUAGGAAAGCAAACUAGGUGCUCCUGUUUAGUUGAUGAAAAUGCAAAAUCUGUAUGUUGGGGUGUCAAAAUGCCUUAUUUUCCUGUUUUACUUAUAAAGCGCAUAAUGCAUGGUCUGUCUCUCCGCCCCCCCCCCUUCACUCAGCCUCCUCUUUGCCAUUCCUCCUCCCCAACCCCAGCUUUCCAUAUAUUUUCUAUUAUACUGUUCAUUUUGCCUUGGGGCAACCUUUUCAGUAAUGAGUGACAAUGCUCAACAGUAGCUCUCAUUCAUUUUCAGCGCCACAUGUGUGUUUAUUUUUAAUUGAUAUUCUGCAUAUAACAUUUUCUGCAGCUGAGGCAUCUCCCUCCCUCCCCCUGAAACACUUUUUUUUUAAACACUCCCUCUGAAAAGCGUCAGCAGUGGAUUGUUUCAUUUGCAGAACUUAAAGCCCCAGAACAGAGGCUCUUCCAGUUUUUAUGAAUGCCCUGUUUGUUGCUGGAAGCACAACUGUUCGAUAUAACUGGCUGCAUCCCACUCUGCUUGGGUCCAGUUUGGUCUGCAGAAGGUCUUUUGCACAAACCAGAUUUCUUGGGUGUGUUUGAAGCAACAUCAUUUUGUCUUCUGGCAGUUGAGUUCUUUUUUAUCCCUUUCCAUCUGUAAAAAGAGUAAUGCACCUUUUCCUCCCCAGAUGCAGUCAUAAUCAAUCAAUCAAUCAAUCAAUCAAUCAAUCAAUGCAGCAGUGCAGAUGAGAACUGCACAGUUGUUAUUUAUCGGACAUGCUCAGGUGGUGAUGGCUGUAACGUUUCUUGCUUUCUGUAUAUUUUGGGGCUUCUCUUAAUGAUCCCUUGCAGAUUUGCAGAGGUCCCUCCGAAUGACACAUUG